GUGGGGAAUAUUGGACAAUGGGGGGAACCCUGAUCCAGCCAUGCCGCGUGUGUGAAGAAGGCCUUUUGGUUGUAAAGCACUUUAAGCGAGGAGGAGGCUACCGAGAUUAAUACUCUUGGAUAGUGGACGUUACUCGCAGAAUAAGCACCGGCUAACUCUGUGCCAGCAGCCGCGGUAAUACAGAGGGUGCAAGCGUUAAUCGGAUUUACUGGGCGUAAAGCGCGCGUAGGUGGCCAAUUAAGUCAAAUGUGAAAUCCCCGAGCUUAGCUUGGGAAUUGCAUUCGAUACUGGUUGGCUAGAGUAUGGGAGAGGAUGGUAGAAUUCCAGGUGUAGCGGUGAAAUGCGUAGAGAUCUGGAGGAAUACCGAUGGCGAAGGCAGCCAUCUGGCCUAAUACUGACACUGAGGUGCGAAAGCAUGGGGAGCAAACAGGAUUAGAAACCCGAGUAGUCC
RNAcentral lists this ribosomal RNA (451 nucleotides) under uncultured bacterium. RNAcentral describes it as "partial 16S ribosomal RNA". It matches the Rfam family "Bacterial small subunit ribosomal RNA", at positions 354 to 796 of the family's 1533-position model. The record is from RNAcentral.